This 69-nucleotide transfer RNA is filed under the name Cardiocondyla obscurior. RNAcentral's name for it is "tRNA-Gln". The record is from RNAcentral. Lineage: Eukaryota; Metazoa; Arthropoda; Insecta; Hymenoptera; Formicidae.
UAUAUUUUAAUGUAAGAAGCAUGAAAAUUUUUGAAGUUUUUAGGAAUAGUUUAAUUCUAUUAAAUAUAA